This 327-nucleotide ribosomal RNA is filed under the name uncultured eukaryote. RNAcentral's name for it is "partial 18S ribosomal RNA". It matches the Rfam family "Eukaryotic small subunit ribosomal RNA", at positions 1470 to 1796 of the family's 1831-position model. The record is from RNAcentral.
CCCUUAGAUGUUCUGGGCCGCACACGCGCUACACUGAAGGAGGCAGCGUGUACUCCUGGAUCGAAAGAUUUGGGUAACCCGCGAAUCUCCUUCGUGCUAGGGAUUGAGGUUUGCAAUUAUCCUUCAUGAACGAGGAAUUCCCAGUAAGUGCAAGUCAUAAGCUUGCGCUGACUACGGCCCUGCCCUUUGUACACACCGCCCGUCGCUACUACCGAUUGAAUGAUUUAGUGAGGACUUCGGACUGGGACCGAUGCGGCUUUCGGGCUGCGUCGGUAUUCUGGAAAGAUGUCCAAACUGUAUCAUUUAGAGGAAGUAAAAGUCGUAACA